GGCGGCCUAAUACAUGCAAGUCGAGGGGUAACAUGACGCUUCGGUGUUGAUGACGACCGGCGCACGGGUGCGUAACGCGUAUGCAAUCUACCUACAGCAGAGGGAUAGCCCGUGGAAACAUGGAUUAAUACCUCAUAAUACAGGGGGCCCACCUGGGCAUAUUGUUAAAGAUUUAUCGGCUGUAGAUGAGCAUGCGUCCCAUUAGUUAGUUGGUAAGGUAACGGCUUACCAAGACGAUGAUGGGUAGGGGUUCUGAGAGGAUGAUCCCCCACACUGGUACUGAGAUACGGACCAGACUCCUACGGGAGGCAGCAGUAGGGAAUAUUGGUCAAUGGACGCAAGUCUGAACCAGCCAUGCCGCGUGCAGGAAGACGGCCUUCUGGGUUGUAAACUGCUUUUCUCAGGGAAGAAAAGGGUCUUGCGAGGCAACUUGCCGGUACCUGAGGAAUAAGCACCGGCUAACUCCGUGCCAGCAGCCGCGGUAAUACGGAGGGUGCAAGCGUUGUCCGGAUUUAUUGGGUUUAAAGGGUGCGUAGGCGGCCUAUUAAGUCAGUGGUGAAAGGUAUCAGCUUAACUGAUGACGUGCCAUUGAAACUGACAGGCUUGAGUACAGACGAGGUAGGCGGAAUUUAUGGUGUAGCGGUGAAAUGCAUAGAUACCAUAAAGAACACCGAUAGCGAAAGGCAGCUUACUAGACUGUAACUGACGCUGAGGC
Molecule: ribosomal RNA, 715 nt
Filed under: uncultured Bacteroidota bacterium
Lineage: Bacteria; Pseudomonadati; Bacteroidota
Description: bacterial SSU rRNA
Rfam family: Bacterial small subunit ribosomal RNA
Source: RNAcentral